RNAcentral lists this unclassified non-coding RNA (405 nucleotides) under soil metagenome. RNAcentral's name for it is "partial contains 5.8S ribosomal RNA, internal transcribed spacer 2, and large subunit ribosomal RNA". The stretch from base 1 to 121 matches the Rfam family "5.8S ribosomal RNA", at positions 35 to 154 of the family's 154-position model. The record is from RNAcentral.
GAUGAAGAACGUAGCGAAUUGCGAUAAGUAAUGUGAAUUGCAGAAUUCAGUGAAUCAUCGAAUCUUUGAACGCACCUUGCGCCCUUUGGCCAUUCCGAAGGGCAUGCCUGUUUGAGUAUCAUGAACACCUCAACUCUUUAUGGUUUUCCAUGAUGAGCUUGGACUCUGGAGGUUUUGCUGGCUCACAGUCGGCUCCUCUAAAAUGAAUCAGCUUACCAGUGUUUGGUGGGUAUCAUGGGUGUGAUAACUAUCUACGCUUGUGGUUUUUCCACCAGGUAACCUUCAGCAGUGGAGGUUCGCUGGAGCUCAUAGAUGUCUCUCCUCAGUGAGGACAGCCCUUUGAAUGUUUGAUCUCAAAUCAGGUAGGACUACCCGCUGAACUUAAGCAUAUCAAUAAGCGGAGGA